RNAcentral lists this microRNA precursor (136 nucleotides) under Solanum tuberosum (potato). Its description in RNAcentral is "MIR7993 microRNA precursor family". It matches the Rfam family "MIR7993 microRNA precursor family". Lineage: Eukaryota; Viridiplantae; Streptophyta; Magnoliopsida; Solanales; Solanaceae. The record is from Rfam by way of RNAcentral.
UUAAGUUAACCACAUAAAAUAUGUCAUCUCCUUUAAUUAUACGCAUCAUCUCAAGAAAUGUGUGGGGGUUGUAUGACUUGUUGAGGUGAAUGCUUUAAUUGAAGGAGCUUAUAUAUUUUAUGUGGUUAACUUAACC